Molecule: RNA transcript, 936 nt
Organism: Triticum dicoccoides
Lineage: Eukaryota; Viridiplantae; Streptophyta; Magnoliopsida; Poales; Poaceae
Exons: 5
Source: RefSeq, a predicted model, not a curated record
CCUCAAAAAAAAAAAAAACUCCCCCGUCUCGUCCUGCACCGAUGUGCAGCCACUCCGGCGGGCGGCGGCGUUGCACGGCGACUCCAGCGGCUCCGGAGGCGCGGAGUCCCCAGCCACCAGGAAGCAACCGCAGGAGGCUCGGCUACUCCGGCACUACAGGCGCCGCUAUUGCCCCAGCAGCACGGGCCCGGCGGCGAAUCUGGCAAGCACGUGUGCCGCACCUCCGGCGACUAGUGUUCCUGUCCGACCAAACGGAUGAUGAGGCUCCCUCUGACUGGAAGUCCAGAAUGUGGACGAGAAGAAUUGAGCCUGAAGCAGUCGGCUCCAAAAGGACUCCCUCUGACUGGAUGUCCAGAAUGUGGAAGAGAAUGGUGAAGCAGUCAGCGACAUCUCUGAAUCCGGGCAAAUAUUCAGUGGAAUGCCCAAGGAAUGGCAAGGAUAUGAAGGUGAAAGACUGGCGUUUCUUCAUGUGGCUGGACAAGUACUUGGACAUGGUCGAGGAAAUUUGGAUGAUAAAUGUGCUCAUCAUGGGCAAUGCAUCUGCUCGCUGCGUGUCACGAGAAAUUCAGCGACGUAUUGAUGCUACGAGGGCUGAAAAUGAUGCUACAAGAGCCUAAAUUGAUGCUACAAGAGCUCAAAUUGAUGCUAUUAGGGUUGAGACUGCAGCACUGGAUCAACGCAUCGAGAAGUUGGCCGCCCAAAAUGCAAAGCUUCAGCUUUGUGUUCCAGGAGACCACUGAAUUGUAGCAGAGAGAUGAGAGAUUAAACCUGUCUUCAUGUUCAUGUUUCCUUCAACCGGCUGCUACCACUACAUCUCCUGUGUUGGAUGUCACGUGGAGUUGUUUUGAAGAAAACUGGACUAAAAGCCAGUUCAACUGGGUUAGGGAUGGGGGUGAUUUUGGGUUUAGCGAGUUUGAGGUUGUGACAACUCAAGUA